GUCCUAUUUAUUGUUCCAUCCCCCCUCUCAAAAUAUUGUAUAGCGCUACGGAAUCUGUUGGCGCUAUAUAAAUGGCAAUAAUAAUAAUAAUAAUAUGAAACUGUGUAUUUUCCUGCCUGGAAUAAUUAAGUCAACCCAUUGUGUACCCCCUCACAGGCAGAGGGGAGAUUUUGUGUGUCCUAACUGGGAGUGUCUGACUGUAUUAUUAUGUGUUUGAUUGGCUGUUCCACAAAACCACGUGGGUGGUAACUGUGUGUAAAAACUUGCAUAAAAGAAAGCCCUUUGGUGUUGAUUAAAGCAGAUCAUCUUGUACCUUCAUGAAGUUUUGGCUCAUGUUUGGGGGAUUGGAGAACUACACUCUGGGGAUUGCUAUAAUCACU
This is a non-coding RNA of Pelobates cultripes (western spadefoot toad), 380 nucleotides long. Lineage: Eukaryota; Metazoa; Chordata; Amphibia; Anura; Pelobatidae. The record is from the annotation of a GenBank genome assembly.